RNAcentral lists this ribosomal RNA (253 nucleotides) under uncultured bacterium. RNAcentral's name for it is "partial 16S ribosomal RNA". It matches the Rfam family "Bacterial small subunit ribosomal RNA", at positions 524 to 776 of the family's 1533-position model. The record is from RNAcentral.
UACGUAGGGGGCCAGCGUUGUUCGGAAUUACUGGGCGUAAAGGGUUCGUAGGCGGUGUAGCAAGUCGGGAGUGAAAUCUCUGGGCUUAACCCAGAGGCUGCUUCCGAAACUGCUGUGCUUGAGUGUGGGAGAGGCGCGUGGAAUUGCAGGUGUAGCGGUGAAAUGCGUAGAUAUCUGCAGGAACACCCGUGGCGAAAGCGGCGCGCUGGGCCACUACUGACGCUGAGGAACGAAAGCUAGGGGAGCAAACAGG